GUCCCUAUAGUUCAAUGGAUAGAACUGCGGUUUCCUAAACCGUCAAUUCGAGUUCGAGUCUCGAUGGGGGCACCA
RNAcentral lists this transfer RNA (75 nucleotides) under Puniceicoccales bacterium. RNAcentral's name for it is "tRNA-Arg". It matches the Rfam family "tRNA". Rfam says of the family: Transfer RNA (tRNA) molecules are approximately 80 nucleotides in length. Their secondary structure includes four short double-helical elements and three loops (D, anti-codon, and T loops). The record is from RNAcentral. Lineage: Bacteria; Pseudomonadati; Verrucomicrobiota; Opitutia; Puniceicoccales.